This 497-nucleotide ribosomal RNA is filed under the name uncultured bacterium. RNAcentral's name for it is "partial 16S ribosomal RNA". It matches the Rfam family "Bacterial small subunit ribosomal RNA", at positions 28 to 507 of the family's 1533-position model. The record is from RNAcentral.
GAUGAACGCUGGCGGCGUGCCUAAUACAUGCAAGUCGAGCGAACGGACGAGGAGCUUGCUUCUCUGAUGUUAGCGGCGGACGGGUGAGUAACACGUGGAUAACCUACCUAUAAGACUGGGAUAACUUCGGGAAACCGGAGCUAAUACCGGAUGAUAUUUUGAACCGCAUGGUUCAAAAGUGAAAGACGGUCUUGCUGUCACUUAUAGAUGGAUCCGCGCUGCAUUAGCUAGUUGGUAAGGUAACGGCUUACCAAGGCAACGAUGCAUAGCCGACCUGAGAGGGUGAUCGGCCACACUGGAACUGAGACACGGUCCAGACUCCUACAGGAGGCAGCAGUAGGGAAUCUUCCGCAAUGGGCGAAAGCCUGACGGAGCAACGCCGCGUGAGUGAUGAAGGUCUUCGGAUCGUAAAACUCUGUUAUUAGGGAAGAACAUAUGUGUAAGUAACUGUGCACAUCUUGACGGUACCUAAUCAGAAAGCCACGGCUAACUACGUG